RNAcentral lists this unclassified non-coding RNA (232 nucleotides) under plant metagenome. Its description in RNAcentral is "partial contains small subunit ribosomal RNA, internal transcribed spacer 1, and 5.8S ribosomal RNA". The record is from RNAcentral.
CGUAGGUGAACCUGCGGAAGGAUCAUUACUGAGUGAGGGCCCCUCGGGGUCCAACCUCCCACCCGUGUUUAACGAACCUUGUUGCUUCGGCGGGCCCGCCUCACGGCCGCCGGGGGGCAUCUGCCCCCGGGCCCGCGCCCGCCGAAGCCGCCUGUGAACGCUGUCUGAAGUAUGCAGUCUGAGACAAUUAUUAAAUUAAUUAAAACUUUCAACAACGGAUCUCUUGGUUCCG